GACGAACGCUGGCGGCGUGCUUAACACAUGCAAGUCGAACGGAAAGGCCCUGCUUUUGUGGGGUGCUCGAGUGGCGAACGGGUGAGUAACACGUGAGUAACCUGCCCUUGACUUUGGGAUAACUUCAGGAAACUGGGGCUAAUACCGGAUAGGAGCUCCUGCUGCAUGGUGGGGGUUGGAAAGUUUCGGCGGUUGGGGAUGGACUCGCGGCUUAUCAGCUUGUUGGUGGGGUAGUGGCUUACCAAGGCUUUGACGGGUAGCCGGCCUGCGAGGGUGACCGGCCACAUUGGGACGGGGAUGCGGCCCAGACUCCUACGGGAGGCAGCAGUGGGGAAUAUUGCACAAUGGGCGGAAGCCUGAUGCAGCAACGCCGCGUGCGGGAUGACGGCCUUCGGGUUGUAAACCGCUUUCGCCUGUGACGAAGCGUGAGUGACGGUAAUGGGUAAAGAAGCACCGGCUAACUACGUG
RNAcentral lists this ribosomal RNA (468 nucleotides) under uncultured bacterium. Its description in RNAcentral is "partial 16S ribosomal RNA". It matches the Rfam family "Bacterial small subunit ribosomal RNA", at positions 28 to 507 of the family's 1533-position model. The record is from RNAcentral.